CAGUAGCCACGGGAAUACGAAGGGGGCUAGCGUUGCUCGGAAUGACUGGGCGUAAAGGGCGCGUAGGCGGAUUGUUUAGUUAGGCGUGAAAUUCCUGGGCUUAACCUGGGGACUGCGCUUAAUACAGGCAGUCUAGAGUGAGGAAGAGGGUUGUGGAAUUCCCAGUGUAGAGGUGAAAUUCGUAGAUAUUGGGAAGAACACCGGUGGCGAAGGCGGCAACCUGGUCCUUGACUGACGCUGAGGCGCGAAAGCGUGGGGAGCAAACAGGAUUAGAUACCCGUGUAGUCCCUGUCUCUUAUAC
Molecule: ribosomal RNA, 301 nt
Filed under: uncultured bacterium
Lineage: Bacteria
Description: partial 16S ribosomal RNA
Rfam family: Bacterial small subunit ribosomal RNA
Source: RNAcentral